UACGGGGGGGGGUAAGCGUUGUUCGGAAUUACUGGGCGUAAAGCGCACGUAGGCGGACUCUUAAGUCGGUGGUGAAAUCCUGGAGCUCAACUCCAGAACUGCCUUCGAUACUGAGAGUCUCGAGUCCGGGAGAGGUGAGUGGAACUGCGAGUGUAGAGGUGAAAUUCGUAGAUAUUCGCAAGAACACCAGUGGCGAAGGCGGCUCACUGGCCCGGUACUGACGCUGAGGUGCGAAAGCGUGGGGAGCAAACAGG
This 254-nucleotide ribosomal RNA is filed under the name uncultured bacterium. Its description in RNAcentral is "partial 16S ribosomal RNA". It matches the Rfam family "Bacterial small subunit ribosomal RNA", at positions 524 to 776 of the family's 1533-position model. The record is from RNAcentral.